ACACCUUCAAUUUAUGCAUUCAAAAUCUUAUUAUAAAUACAGCCCAAAAAUGCAUUAGUUUCUUCAUCCCUCAAUUUUCAUAUUUCAUAAGUACUAAGCUUUGAAACAAAAAUAAAAGAAUUAAGAAGAAUGGGUUCCAAGGCAAUUAUGUUUCUUGGUCUUUUUUUGGCUAUUUUCUUAAUGAUAAGCUCUGAGGUUGCAGCUAGGGAGUUGGCAGCUGAGACUUCCAAUGGUAAGCAUUUCUUUUCAUUUGUUCCCUCUCUUAGGGUAUGUUCGAUAAAAAAAAAUAUUUUUCAUGAAAAAUAUUUUGUAAGAAAAUAUAAGUGACUUCUUUAUUUACUUUUUUGUGUUCAAUAUCGUGAUAUAAUCUAGACAGAUAUAUAAUUGGUGGGGUUGGAUGGUGACGGUGGGAUGAAGAUGGGGCGAAGAUAAAUAUGUUUGAUCAUAAAAUUUGUCUACUUUUUGAAAAUUAUUUGAAACAAAAUCCCAAAAUUUCAAUCACUAAUGCUGUAGUUUGAUCAUGACACUUAAUAUAUAUUCUUUUUGUUUCAUGUUAUACGUCUCAAUUACUAUGCAUAAAGUAUAAGAAUAUACCAUAAACUUCCCAAACUUUGCUAAACUAAACUAAAGGUAUGUAAAUUAUAUUAUAAAUGCCCUAUGAGUUUUGUGAUCUUAUGUUACAUUGAAAUUAAAAAAAUUACAAUUAAAUAUAUAUAGGAAGAGGAGUACUCAUUUUGAAAUAUAAUAAAAAGGAAAGUACGACAUAUAAAUUGAAGUGCAAUUCAAAGACUAGUAAUGACUCAUCGUACGUGUUAGCUAGUUUAAUUAAUCUUCACAAUUCAUCGAUGCAGCGGUAAACGUUGAUGGACAUUAUUAUGGAGGCGGCUAUGGUAAGGGCCAUGGAAAACCUAAGAAAUGUUAUAGUUGCUGCAAGAAAUACAAAUAUGGAUGCAAAAAAUACUGCUGCUCUUAUGAAGAAUAUGUGGCUGCCCAGACUCACAACUAAAUAAUUAAUUAUUAUUGUAAACUUUUGAAAUUAAGUGACAAGAUACUAAUAAUCUUGCUACUUAAGACCCUUUGCUUGUAACAAGUAUGAAUAAAGCCAUUCAUUUACAAUGAAUGGUUGGUCAUGAUGUAAUGUUUUGUUGUACAAUAUAUCAUAUUGUGUUAAAAAUGUUUCCCUAAUGUUAAGAUUUUCUUCUUAUUUUUACUUAAGUAUUCUAUCAUCCCUUAAUCAUAUGUUUCAAGAUUGAAUCCUGGUCCGAAUAUAGAAUUGUCUUUGUUACAUAGUAUUUUACUCUAUUUGAAUUUUUUACCGUGAAUCCAAUUUAUUUAAGGCAUCUCUAAUUAAGGAUAUUGAACAUUGAGGGGAAAUUUUAAAAUAUUUAAUUUUCUUGUUAUUUAAUAAAGUAAGGAAAACAAUGCAGAAAAAAAGAAACAAUUUGUUCUUUUCUUUGUAUAAUAUUUAAAAAAAUAUAAUCACAGAAGAAAUAAAAUUAAAGCAUGGGGGACAAACGACUAAUAAUGUCAAAUCAUCACUUAUUUUUUUAUUUCUAAUGAACACUUUAGUCAGGGCUGAAAUCGAAAUUUUAUGAAAACAUCACAACAUAUAAACAAAAAUGAACACAUGAGUAAAUUUUAAUGAUUCAAUAUAUGAUACAAUGUAGUAGCUUUUUUCGACGAAGGAGAGUCAAUUAACAAUAUUAGAUAAGGAUGGUUACAUCAUUAAUAUUCACGAUCACCAUUAAGGGCGUAUUUACCUUAAGCUCGCAAUAUAUAUAUGCAACGUCAACCAAAUAACUCACAUUAGGGGUGUACAAAAAUGAACCGAAAACCGAAUUAAACCGCAAAUCGAGAAAAAAAAAUCCGACUAGUGGUUGGUUUGACUUGGUUUGGUAUUGAAAAAAAAACCCAACUAUAUUUGGGUUGGUUUGGUUUUAACUAAAAAAAACCAACCCGAGACCAAACCAACACGUCAUUAUAUAUAUAAUUUUAAAAUUUAUUUUAUAUUUUAUACAUAAAAAUAUUUACUUUGAAAUAAUUUUUAAAUCUUUCUUAUACUUUUUCAUAGUUUUUAUCUUUUAAUAUAUUAUUNNNNNNNNNNNNNNNNNNNNNNNNNNNNNNNNNNNNNNNNNNNNNNNNNNNNNNNNNNNNNNNNNNNNNNNNNNNNNNNNNNNNNNNNNNNNNNNNNNNNNNNNNNNNNNNNNNNNNNNNNNNNNNNNNNNNNNNNNNNNNNNNNNNNNNNNNNNNNNNNNNNNNNNNNNNNNNNNNNNNNNNNNNNNNNNNNNNNNNNNNNNNNNNNNNNNNNNNNNNNNNNNNNNNNNNNNNNNNNNNNNNNNNNNNNNNNNNNNNNNNNNNNNNNNNNNNNNNNNNNNNNNNNNNNNGAAAACAAAAAUACAGAAUGAUUAUUAUGAAAAAAAUAAGUGAACAAAUGGGGUUCUUUUGUAUAUUUUAUUUUUUGUUAUUGCUGAAUUUGCCGAACUUUUACAGCUUGUUUGAGUACUUGUUACCUAUAUAGUUGUAUUUUGGUGGCGAAAUGGUCUAAUAGACCCCUGUACUUGUAUGAGUUUGUAUUGUGAACCCUUCUACUUAACUCUUUAUCAAUUGAACCCUUAAACUUAUAAAACACAAUUUAUCAAACCCCUCUGACCAUUGACUAGGCUUAUGUGGCAUCAAUAUGGUUGAGUUGGCAAGAGUGUGUGAAUUCACUCUCGUUAAGGCGAGUGAUAUCCUAUUUAAGUUUUAAAAAAUAUUAAAAAAUUAAAAAAAAAUAAAACAAUAAAACAAAAAAACUUUAAAAAAAAUAACUAAAAAAGGCUUUCUUCUUCCGCCAACAGGUUCACAUCCAUUUUUGGCCAUCUCCAUCCCUGUCCAAUCCAUUUUUCUUUCUUCUUCACACUCUUGUCAUCUUCUUUAGCAGAUCUUCGCAUUGGCACCUAGAGAGAGACGACGCAGGUCAGUGGAAGAAGAACGAGGCGGUUGAGGGUAGGAUCUGGUCACGACAGCGAAGAGGUUUUUCGGUCAGAUCUGGUGGCCAUGGUGCGACGGAGAUGAAGACGGGUGAGGAAGAGGGCACGUAUGGUCGCCGGCAAGAGUUGCGACGACGACUGAGACGGCGGCGAGGAGCCUCCUAGAAUAUUUGUAUGCCGGAGACAGUAAGGGGUUUCUUGGCCUUCUGAUACUCCGGAGAGGAUGAAGAGCAUAUCGGUCGGUGAUGGUGAGGGGAGAGAAGCUAGUGCGGUGGCUUAGGGUUUCUAGAUUUGUGGAGGUUAGAGAAGGAGAAAAGAAAAUGGUAAGGGUGUGCGAUGAAGAUGGAGGUUGGUGGGGAGAUCGUAUUUGUGGUCUCGCCGGCAAGAGGAGCGGCAACAGCAGCGACUUUUUCCGACAGUUGGGCCAUUUCACGGUGAAAAUGGAAGAUGAUGUGAGGAGACCCAAACUUUUAAUUUAAAAUAAUAAAUUAAAAUUUAAUUUGUCAAAAUUACAUCAAAACUUUAUGAUUUUUCUUUUGUUAAAAAAGAAAUUAUUAUAUAAAAAAAAAAUGAUGUGGCAAAUUUUAUCUGACAUAGCGUAUGACAUUAGCGUGAUUGAGAAUCACGAUGAGUUGAAAGGGUUCAAUAGGUUGAGUUUAGAUGGGUUCAGGGGUCCAUAUGACAAAGAGGUAAGUAGAAGAAUUCACAAUACAAACGCAUACAAGUACAAGGGUCCACCAGAUCAUUUUGCCUAUUUUGGUAGGACUAAAGAAAUAUUUGAAGUACAAGUAAAUUAUAUGUUCGUAUGAAUACUUUACCGGAAAAACCCGAAAAAUCCGAGGUUGAAAAACCCGAGUUUUAUUGAUUUGGUUUGGUUUAUAGAUUUAAAAAUUCAACACAAAUGGUUGGAUUUGAUAAUUGAAAAAUCCGAACCAACCCGGUCAUGUACACCCCUAACUCACAUGAUUAUGAAUCAAGGAAAAGAAUAAAUAAUUUUCGUCAUGUUGUGCAAAAAUAUAUAUUUCUAAUCUUAUUAAUAUUAGGUUAGGGGGAAACCUUUUUUGGGUUAUUUAUUAUUUCUAUCUAUAUUUUGUGUAUAUAUAUAAAAAAAAAAUUGCAUAAUAUAUAAACGUAUCCUUUAAUUUGGUCUCAACUGACAUCUAGCCCUCCAACUUUGGAUGUGCACAAGUAGGGACUUAAACUUGUAUAGAGUUGAACAAGUAGACACACUAGUCCUACGUGACAUAAUACGCAUAGGACACCAUGUACGACACAAAUUAUCAUGUAGGACAUGUAUAUCUACUUGUUCUAUUAUAUAUAAACUUAAGUGUUUACCAUUAGUACACAUCCAAAAUUAAAGGUUAUAAAUAUCGAUUAAGGUCAAAAUAAAAUAAUAUUUUCAUGUAUUAUACUUGUUUUUUUAGAAGACUUUUCUUGAGUUAUAAAGCAAUAAAGAGAGUUGGCCCCUCUUAUUUAACUUGAUACGUUGUACAUUAAAAGAGUCAUUAAAUACGUCAUUUAAAGUCUUUGAGUAUUGACCAAAUCCAAGAGUAUAUAUACACCACUAUUUCUAGAUAUUUUAGGAUAAGGUAGUCCUACAAGUUAGCAUAUUUUAAAUUACUUUUUUGCAUAACUAUCCAAAAAUAUACUAUUAACACGACGAUUUAUUAUCGAAAUAUAUAAUACCCAUCACAUGCAUAUUAUUUUUUAAAGUUAUUUUAAUGUUUGAUUUUCUACUAAGUAUUAAUCUUUGUUUUUAGUUUGUUUUGUCGGAUGGUGUACGUAAGCCACUUGGUCAUAUUGAUGUGAUAUAUUUACAAAUAUUUUUUCGAAAAAAUAAGUAAAUUUUUAUCUAUUCUUAUGUUUUUUUAUAGGGAAAAAGUCUGAAAUAUAUUCGAACUUUAGCCAUUCUACUUAAUUUUACUAAUGGUGUUAUAGUAUUAACGUAUGUACUUGUGCCUUUCUACUUUUACUAAUGGUGUUUUGAUUAUUUUUAACUUUUAAUUUGAUUAUUUUGAAUAUUUAAGAUUUGUAAAAUACAAACAGAUACAAUUUAUAAAUAUUAUGUUUUUUUCAUCUUAACAAAAUAUUACUUACGACUCCACCAUAAAAUCAACACUCUAUUUAUCUACCACUUGUAGAGCAAGUUGUUCAUUUCUUUGGUCCAUACAUAAUUGCAAUCCGUAUAUGUAUCCCCUCACACCUCUAAUUAUUUAUGCAUUCAAAUCUUAUUAUAAAUAGAGCCCAAAAAUGCAUUAGUUUCUUCAUCCCUCAAUUUUCAUAUUUCAUAAGUACUAAGUUUUGAACAAAAGAAAAAUUAAAAAGAAUGGGUUCCAAGGCAAUUAUGUUUCUUGGUCUUUUUUUGGCUAUUUUCUUAAUGAUAAGCUCUGAGGUUGCAGCUAGGGAGUUGGCAGCUGAGACUUCCAAUGGUAAGCAUUUCUUUUCAUUUGUUCCCUCUCUUAGGGUGUGUUCGAUAAAAAAAAAAUGUUUUCAUGAAAAAUAUUUUGUAAGAAAAUAUAAGUGACUUCUUUAUUUACUUUGUUGUGUUUAAUAUUGUGAUAUAAUCUAGAUAAAUAUAUAAUUGGUGGGGUUGGAUGAUGACGGUGGGAUGAGGAUGGGGGAAGAUAAAUAUGUUUGAUCAUAAAAUUUGUCUACUUUUUGAAAAUUAUUGGAAACGAAAUCCCAAAAUUUCAAUUAAUAAUGCUAUAGUUUGAUCAUGACACUAAAUAUACAUUCCUUUUGUUUCAUUUUAUAUGUCUCAAUUACUAUGCAUAAAGUUUAAGAAUAUACCAUAAACUUUCCAAUCUUUGCUAAACUAAACUAAAGGCGUGUAAAUUAUAUUAUAAAUGUCCUAUGAAUUUUGUGAUCUUAUGUUACAUUGGAAUUAAAAAAAUUAAUUACAAUUAAAUAUAUAUAGUUAAUGGAGUACUCAUUUUGAAAUAUAAUAAAAAGGAAAGUACGACAUAUAAAUUGAAGCUCAAUUCAGAGACUAGUCAUAACUCAUCGUACGUGUUAGCUAGUUUAAUUAAUCUUCACAAUUCAUCGAUGCAGCGGUAAACGUUGAUGGACAUUAUUAUGGCGGUGGCUAUCACGAGGGCUAUGGAAAACCUAAGAAAUGUCAUAGUUGCUGCAAAAAAUACAAUAUGGAUGCAUAAAAUACUGCUGCUCUUAUGAAGAAUAUGUGGCUGCCCAGACUCACAACUAAAUAAUUAAUUGUGUGUAUUAUUAUUGUAAACUUUUGAAAUUAAGUGACAAGAUAAUAAUAAUCUUGUUACUUAAGACCCUUUGCUUGUAACAAGUAUGAAUAAAGCCAUUCAUUUACUAUGAAUGGUUGGUCAUGAUGUAAUGUUUUGUUGUACAAUAUAUCAUAUUGUGUUAAAAAAUGUUUCCCUAAUGUUAAGAUUUUCUUCUUAUUUUUACUUUAAGUAUUAUAUUCUAUCAUCCUUUAAUCAUAUAUUUCAGGAUUGAAUCCUGAUCCGAAUAUAGAAUUGUCUUUGUUACAUAGUGUUUUACUUGAUCUGAAUUUUUUAACGUGAAUCCAAUUUAUUUAAGGCAUCUCUAAGGAUAUUGAACAUCGAGGGGAAAAUUUAAAAUAUUUAAUUUUCUUGUUAUUUAAUAAAGUAAGGAAAACAAUGCAGAAAAAAGAAACAAUUUGUUCUUUUCUUUGUCUAAUAUUUUUUAAAAGUAUAAUCACAGAAGAAAUAAAAUUAAAGCAUGGGGGACAAAAGACUAAUAAUGUCAAAUCAUCACUUAUUUUUUGAUUUCUAAUGAACACUCUAGUCAGGGCUGAAAUCGAAAUUUUAUGAAAACAUCACAAUAUAAACAAAAAUAAACACAUGAGUAAAUUUUAAUGAUUCAAUAUAUGAUACAAUGUAGUAACUUUUUUCGACGAAGGAGAGUCAAUUAACACUCUUAGAUAAGGAUGGUUACAUCAUUAAUAUUCACGAUCACCAUUAGGGGCGGAUUUACCUUAAGCUCGCAAUGCCAUCUAGCUAUUAGUCAUGCAUGGAAAAUAAAUUUUCUUAUGCACAUGAUCAACUAAAUAAAUAUCGUAUUAUUUAGAAAAGAUUUAUAUAUAUAUAUGCAACAUCAACCAAAUAACUCACAAUCUCACAUGAUUAUUAAUCAGGGAAAAGAUUAAAUAAUUUUCGUCAUGUUGUGCAAAAAUAUAUAUUUCUAAUCUUAUUAAUAUUAGGUUAGGGGGGGAAACCGUUUUUUUGGGUUAUUUAUUAUUUCUAUCUAUAUUUUGUGUAUAUAUAUAAAAAAAAAUUAGCAUAAAAUAUAAACGUAUCCUUUAAUUUGGUCUCAACUGACAUCUAGCCCUCCAACUUUGGAUGUGCACAAGUAGAGACUUAAACUUGUAUAGAGUUGAACAAGUAGACACACUAAUCCUACAUGACAUAAUACGUGUAGGACCGCAUGUACGACACAAAUUAUCAUGUAGAACAUGUGUGUUUACUUAUUCUAUUAUAUAUAAAGUUAAGUGUUUACCAUUAGUACACAUUCAAAAUUAAAGGUUAUAAAUAUCGGUUAAGGUCAAAAUAAAAUAAUAUUUUCAUGUAUUAUACUUGUUUUUUUAGUAAGACUUUUCUUGAGUUAUAAAGCAAAUGAAGAGAGUUGGCCCCUCUUAUUUAACUUGAUACGUUGUACAUUAAAUACGUCAUUUAAAGUCUUUGAGUAUUGACCAAAUCCAAGAGUAUAUAUACACCACUAUUUCUAGAUAUUUUAGGAUAAGGUAGUCCUACAUGUUAGCAUAUUUUAAAUUACUUUUUUGCAUAACUGUCCAAAAAUAUACUAUUAACACGACGAUUUAUUAUCGAAAUAUAUAAUACCCAUCACAUGCAUAUUAUUUUUUAAAGUUAUUUUAAUGUUGUUUGAUUAUCUACUAAGUAUUAAUCUUUGUUUUUAGUUUGUUUUGUCGGACGGUGUACGUAAGCCACUUGGUCAUAUUGAUGUGAUAUAUUUACAAAUAUCUUUUCGAAAAAAUAAGUAAAUUUUUAUCUAUUCUUAUUUUUUUUAUAGGGAAAAAAGACUGAAAUAUAUACAAACUUUGGCCAUUCUACUUUUAAUAAUGGUGUUAUAGUAUUAACGUAUGUACUUGUGCCUCUCUACUUUUACUAAUGGUGUUUCGAUAUUUUUAACUUUUAAUUUGAUUAUUUUGAAUAUUUAAGAUUUGUAAAAUACAAACAAAUACAAUUUAUAAAUAUUAUGUUUUUUUCAUCUUAACAAAAUAUUACUUACGACUCCACCAUAAAAUCAACACUCUAUUUAUCUGCCACUUGUAGAGCAAGCUCAUUUCUUUGGUCCAUAAAAUAAUUGCAAUCCGUACAUGUGUCCCCUCACACCUCUAAUUAUUUAUGCAUUCAAAUCUUAUUAUAAAUGAGCCCAAACAUGCAUUAGUUUCUUCAUCCCUCAAUUUUCAUAUUUCAUAAGUACUAAGUUUUGAACAAAAGAAAAAUUAAAAAGAAUGGGUUCCAAGGCAAUUAUGUUUCUUGGUAUUUUUUUGGCUAUUUUCUUAAUGAUAAGCUCUGAGGUUGCAGCUAGGGAGUUGGCAGCUGAGACUUCCAAUGGUAAGCAUUUCUUCUCAUUUGUUCCCUCUCUUAGGGUGUGUUCGAUAAAAAAAAAUGUUUUUCAUGAAAUAUAUUUUGUAAGAAAAUAUGAAUGACUUCUUUAUUUACUUUUUUGUGUUCAAUAUUGUGAUAUAAUCUAGACAGAUAUAUAAUUGGUGGGGUUGGAUGGUGAGGGUGUGGGGAUGAGGAUGGGGGCGAAGAUAAAUAUGUUUGGUCAUAAAAUUUGUCUACUUUUUAAAAAUUAUUGGAAACCAAAUCCAAAAAUUUCAAUCACUAAUGCUAUAGUUUGAUCAUGACAUUUAAUAUACAUUCCUUUUGUUUCAUUUAAUAUAUGUCUCAAUUACAAGGCAUAAACCUUCCAAUCUUUGCUAAACUAAACUAAAGGUGUGUAAAUUAUAUUAUAAAUGUCCUACGAAUUUUGUGAUCUUUUGUUACAUUGAACUUAAAAAAUAUACAAUUAAAUAUAUAUAGGAAAAGGAGUACUCAUUUUGAAAUAUAAUAAAAAGGAAAGUACGACAUAUAAAUUGAAGCUCAAUUCAGAGACUAGUCAUGACUCAUCGUAUGUGUAAGCUAGUUUAAUUAAUCUUCACAAUUCAUCGAUGUAGCGGUCAACGUUGAUGGACAUUAUCAUGGUGGCGGCUAUGGUAAGGGCUAUGGAAAACCUAAAAAAUGUUAUAGUUGCUGCAAGAAAACCAAAUAUGGAUGCAAAAAAUACUGCUGCUCUUAUGAAGAAUAUGUGGCUGCCCAGACUCACAACUAAAUAAUUAAUUGUGUGUAUUAUUAUUGUAAACUUUUGAAAUUAAGUGACAAGAUAAUAAUAAUCUUGCUACUUAAGACCCUUUGCUUGUAACAAGUAUGAAUAAAGCCAUUCAUUUACUAUGAAUGGUUGGUCAUGAUGUAAUGUUUUGUUGUACAAUAUAUCAUAUUGUGUUAAAAAUGUUUCCCUAAUGUUAAGAUUUCCUUCUUAUUUUUACUUAAGUAUUCUAUCAUCCUUUAAUCAUAUGUUUCAGGAUUGAAUCCUGAUCCGAAUAUAAAAUCGUCUUUAUUACAUAGCUUUUACUCGAUCUGAAUUUUUUACCGUGAAUCCAAUUUAUUUAAGGCAUCUCUAAUUAAGGAUAUUGAACAUUGAGGGGAAAAAUUUAAAAUAUUUAAUUUUCU
This 9697-nucleotide long non-coding RNA is filed under the name Solanum tuberosum (potato). RNAcentral describes it as "long non-coding RNA (STUB_LNC009483)". Lineage: Eukaryota; Viridiplantae; Streptophyta; Magnoliopsida; Solanales; Solanaceae. The record is from RNAcentral.